CCUACGGGUGGCAGCAGUGAGGAAUAUUGGUCAAUGGACGAGAUUCUGAACCAGCCAAGUAGCGUGAAGGAUGACUGCCCUAUGGGUUGUAACCUUCUUUUAUAUAGGAAUAAAAUGAGGCAUGUCUGCUUUUUUGCAUGUACUUUAUGACUAAGGAUCGGCUAACUCCGUGCCAGCAGCCGCGGUAAUACGGAGGAUCCGAGCGUUAUCCGGAUUUAUUGGGUUUAAAGGGAGCGUAGAUGGGUUGUUAAGUCAGUUGUGAAAGUUUGCGGCUCAACCGUAAAAUUGCAAUUGAUACUGGCAGUCUUGAGUACAGUAGAGGUAGGCGGAAUUCGUGGUGUAGCGGUGAAAUGCUUAGAUAUCACGAAGAACCCCGAUUGCGAAGGCAGCUUACUAAACUGUAACUGACAUUGAUGCUCGAAAGUGUGGGUAUCAAACAGGAUUAGAUACCCGAGUAGUC
RNAcentral lists this ribosomal RNA (460 nucleotides) under uncultured bacterium. RNAcentral's name for it is "partial 16S ribosomal RNA". It matches the Rfam family "Bacterial small subunit ribosomal RNA", at positions 338 to 795 of the family's 1533-position model. The record is from RNAcentral.